Molecule: ribosomal RNA, 468 nt
Filed under: uncultured bacterium
Lineage: Bacteria
Description: partial 16S ribosomal RNA
Rfam family: Bacterial small subunit ribosomal RNA
Source: RNAcentral
GACGAACGCUGGCGGCGUGCUUAACACAUGCAAGUCGAACGGAAAGGCCCUGCUUUUGUGGGGUGCUCGAGUGGCGAACGGGUGAGUAACACGUGAGUAACCUGCCCUUGACUUUGGGAUAACUUCAGGAAACUGGGGCUAAUACCGGAUAGGAGCUCCUGCUGCAUGGUGGGGGUUGGAAAGUUUCGGCGGUUGGGGAUGGACUCGCGGCUUAUCAGCUUGUUGGUGGGGUAGUGGCUUACCAAGGCUUUGACGGGUAGCCGGCCUGAGAGGGUGACCGGCAACAUUGGGAGUGAGAUGCGGCCGAGACGCAUGCGGGAGGAAGCAGGGGGGAAUAUGGAAAGAGGGGCGGAGGCUUGAUGCAGCAACGCGGCGGGCGGGAUGAGGGCCUGCGGGUGGGAACCGGCGUGCGCCUGUACAGAAGCGUGCGGGCAGGUAAGGGAAAAGGAGGCCCGGGCAAAUUAGGUG